RNAcentral lists this ribosomal RNA (254 nucleotides) under uncultured bacterium. RNAcentral describes it as "partial 16S ribosomal RNA". It matches the Rfam family "Bacterial small subunit ribosomal RNA", at positions 524 to 776 of the family's 1533-position model. The record is from RNAcentral.
UACGUAGGGGGCAAGCGUUGUCCGGAAUCACUGGGCGUAAAGGGCGCGUAGGUGGCCUGUGGAAGUCUGCGGUGAAAGCCCGGCGCUCAACGCCGGGUCGGCCGUGGAUACUCUCGGGCUUGAGCUUACUAGAGGCAGAUGGAAUUCCGGGUGUAGCGGUGGAAUGCGUAGAGAUCCGGAAGAACACCGGUGGCGAAGGCGGUCUGCUGGGGUAAUGCUGACACUGAGGCGCGACAGCGUGGGGAGCAAACAGG